AGUGAACGCUGGCGGUAGGCCUAACACAUGCAAGUCGAACGGCAGCACAGUAAGAGCUUGCUCUUACGGGUGGCGAGUGGCGGACGGGUGAGGAAUACAUCGGAAUCUACUUUUUCGUGGGGGAUAACGUAGGGAAACUUACGCUAAUACCGCAUACGACCUACGGGUGAAAGCAGGGGAUCUUCGGACCUUGCGCGAUUGAAUGAGCCGAUGUCGGCUUAGCUAGUUGGCGGGGUAAAGGCCCACCAAGGCGACGAUCCGUAGCUGGUCUGAGAGGAUGAUCAGCCACACUGGAACUGAGACACGGUCCAGACUCCUACGGGAGGCAGCAGUGGGGAAUAUUGGACAAUGGGCGCAAGCCUGAUCCAGCCAUACCGCGUGGGUGAAGAAGGCCUUCGGGUUGUAAAGCCCUUUUGUUGGGAAAGAAAAACAGCAGGUUAAUACCCCGCUGUUCUGACGGUACCCAAAGAAUAAGCACCGGCUAACUUCGUG
RNAcentral lists this ribosomal RNA (492 nucleotides) under uncultured bacterium. Its description in RNAcentral is "partial 16S ribosomal RNA". It matches the Rfam family "Bacterial small subunit ribosomal RNA", at positions 29 to 507 of the family's 1533-position model. The record is from RNAcentral.